AGAAAAAGAAGAGGAUAUGACCCUACAGCGUGCCAGAUAAAAAAGUUCAAGGACUAAAUUUGCCCCUUGCUUCAACAUUUCAUAAUAUAAUUGGACCUGUCUACACCUCGGAUACACACAGCAAAGAGCAUAUAAAAUUACUGAGUUAAUGUGGGUGCUGGAUUCUGAGGUGAGAAACUGAGGUGCGAACCACUAGGGCAUAUUGUGCUUCCAUGGAAGUUUUAUUGGGUCCUUAAGAAGCCCUUGCUUGGUCUUUUAGAAGGCUGGGCAUAGGUCGAUAAAUGGAAUGUAGUUGUUUAAAUAGUUUUACUAAAGUUCUGACAUCAACUCUAGUUUAAAUCUAUAUAGCUGCAGGUAAUGUAAUAAGGCCAUACUCUUCCAAGCUGGCAGCCAUGGCAAAAGUCCCUUUCUCUUGACGCAAAUUACAAGGAAAUCCAAGAACUUCUUUAAGAUCUAUAUGCCAAAGACCUGGAGUUGUUACUAGGGUGGGGAUGUGUAAAGGUCUAGUGACUCACUAAAGUCAGCUGGGACCUGGGGUGCUGGCACCCGGAGGAUACAGAAGAAACAAAAGUUGGGGGGCUGGCGAAGGUCGCAAGCACACUUGAUCUCUGAUUGGCGGAACCGCUCAGAGUUUUCUUUAUGGUGUCACCGAGUACCUGCCUGUAGAAAGGCCCCGUUUCCGUGACGUCACGUCCUGCCGCCCAAUCAGAGGCCUCGGCACGGGGCCCCGAGGUGGGAUGUGGGCCCUUUUUUGUGAAUAAAGCGCCACGGAGCAGCCCUCCCAGGGUCCCCGCGAGCCGCGUCCCGCUGUGCCCAGGCGCCUACGCAGCAGCGUCCACGUCCGCGUCAGCGGGGGGGACGCGCACGGGUACUCCGGGCAGCCCCGGCAGCCAGCGGCAGCCCGGUCGCCUCGGCCGCGCCAGCGGGCUGAGGGAACCUGGGGGCGGGCUGGGGUUGCCGGCAGUGGCGGGAGGCGCUGUAGCGAGGGCUGCGGCGCGGGUUCCGCGGCGGCGGCGGCGGGAGGGAGCGGAGCAGGCGCUGUGGGCCGGGCCCCUCCUCCGGCUCCUGCGCGGCCGCCUCCCGCAGGGCUCCGCCGCCGCCCACCGUCCCCGCAGCGCCGCUCUGCGCCCGCUGCCCCGAGCGCCCUAGCGGGGCUGGCGAGAGCCUCGGCGGACGCGCGGGCGGGUGCGCGCUGCCAUGGUAGUGGCCCCCUGACGGGCUGCGGCCGCCUCCAGGAAGCGAAAGAGGGAGCUGGGGUCGACCUCGCCGCGCUGCUCGUCGACCUCGCCGGGUGUGAAGAAGAGCCGCAGUUCCGCGCCGCAGGACCCGCGCCGCCUGGACUCCGAGGACUACAUGUACCUGGACAUCACUGGAGGGAAACAUGA
RNAcentral lists this long non-coding RNA (1385 nucleotides) under Callithrix jacchus (white-tufted-ear marmoset). RNAcentral's name for it is "lncRNA (ENSCJAG00000076884.1)". Lineage: Eukaryota; Metazoa; Chordata; Mammalia; Primates; Cebidae. The record is from RNAcentral.